Long non-coding RNA from Humulus lupulus (European hop), 1044 nucleotides. RefSeq lists it as uncharacterized. The record is from RefSeq and is a predicted model, not a curated record. The transcript has 2 exons. Lineage: Eukaryota; Viridiplantae; Streptophyta; Magnoliopsida; Rosales; Cannabaceae.
UUUGUGUUUCCUAUGAAAAACUAGAGAUUUUUUUUCCUUUACUUCAAUUAGUUUUCCACAUCAACACCAAGUUUUCUUAAGGAUUACUGAUUUUCUCACCCUCAUCAUCGAUUGCAAUACCACUUUUUGCGAAUUAUGUUGUUUUUUUUGCCUCUUGAAAUCCAAGAAGAGAAGAGAAAAAAAAAAGUGGUAUUUUUGAGAAAUUAAAAGGAAACCUCCAGCUGUGGCCCAAUUCCCACGCAGCCCACCAGUGGCCUUCUGCCCAGCCAGGCCCGCCUGGCCUCCUUCCCAGCCACCUGUUGCAUUCUCCAGGCCCACGCCCAUAGGCCCGUGCCUCCAUUUAGCCGCCUGGGCUUCCCACUCCUCAGCAAAGGCCCAACCGAAUCACCCCAACAUCCAGCUGCCUUCAGCUAUUGCACCCCACGCCUGGCCUCCAUGUCUUCAGCCAGCACCGAAGCCCACGCCUCACCUCUUGCCCAGCCGGAGACCCACCAGGAAGCCCAUAGCCAGCUGCCAUUUCCCCUUGAGCCCAACAAAAGCACAUUGUCCCCUUGUCCCCUUUGUCUAAAAAUGCCACAUUUUUACCCCACUUUCUACAUAUUUUACCCAAAAAUCAUCAUUACACCCUACAAUUUACUACUAUUUUCCAUAUUAUAAUUAAUUCAAUUAAUUUAAUCAAUUUAAUUAAUUUAAAUUGAUUAUUUUAAUACCUUUUUUUUGGCUAUAAAUAAGGGAGUUUAGUGCUUAUUUUUUAGGGAGGUUACACUACACAAGUUCCACUCUUUCAAGACAUCUCUAUUCUCUUCAUCUUUUUCUUCUUUUUGGCCAUUUUUCUAUGAGUUUUUAAAGGAAAAAUUUGGGAGUUCAUCCUCCAAAUUUUCCUAUUUAUGUUUGUAAUUUUUAAUUUGUAUUUGUUAUUCUAGUUAUGAGUUUCUAAUCUUUUUGAGAUUAUUAAGGUGAUGAUGAAACAAUAUCUAACUAGAUAUUAUUUAUCUUGUAUUUUGAUUUCCCAUUUAUGCAACAAAGUUUAUGGAUUUUUUGUAA